AUUGAACGCUGGCGGCAGGCCUAACACAUGCAAGUCGAGCGGAUGAAGGGAGCUUGCUCCUGGAUUCAGCGGCGGACGGGUGAGUAAUGCCUAGGAAUCUGCCUGGUAGUGGGGGAUAACGUCCGCAAACGGGCGCUAAUACCGCAUACGUCCUGAGGGAGAAAGUGGGGGAGCUUCGGACCUCACGCUAUCAGAUGAGCCUAGGUCGGAUUAGCUAGUUGGUGGGGUAAAGGCCUACCAAGGCGACGAUCCGCAACUGGUCUGACAGGAUGAUAAGUCACACUGGAGGUGAGACGCGGUCAAGACUCCUACGGGAGGCAGCAGUGGGGAAUAUUGGACAAUGGGCGAAAGCAUUAUCCAGCCAGGCCGCGUGUGUGAAGAAGGUCUUCGGAUUGUAAAGAACUUUAAGUUGGGAGGAAGGGCAGUAAGUUAAUACGUUGCUGUUUUGACGUUACCAACAGAAUAAGCACCGGCUAACUUCGUG
This 484-nucleotide ribosomal RNA is filed under the name uncultured bacterium. RNAcentral describes it as "partial 16S ribosomal RNA". It matches the Rfam family "Bacterial small subunit ribosomal RNA", at positions 30 to 507 of the family's 1533-position model. The record is from RNAcentral.